AAUAGAUACCCGGGUAGUCCACGCCGUAAACGAUGUCGACUUGGAGGUUGUUCCCUUGAGGAGUGGCUUCCGGAGCUAACGCGUUAAGUCGACCGCCUGGGGAGUACGGCCGCAAGGUUAAAACUCAAAUGAAUUGACGGGGGCCCGCACAAGCGGUGGAGCAUGUGGUUUAAUUCGAUGCAACGCGAAGAACCUUACCUACUCUUGGCAUCCAGAGAACUUAGCAGAGAUGCUUUGGUGCCUUCGGGAACUCUGAGACAGGUGCUGCAUGGCUGUCGUCAGCUCGUGUUGUGAAAUGUUGGGUUAAGUCCCGCAACGAGCGCAACCCUUAUCCUUUGUUGCCAGCGGUUCGGCCGGGAACUCAAAGGAGACUGCCAGUGAUAAACUGGAGGAAGGUGGGGAUGACGUCAAGUCAUCAUGGCCCUUACGAGUAGGGCUACACACGUGCUACAAUGGCGUAAUACAAAGAGAAGCGACCUCGCGAGAGCAAGCGGACCUCAUAAAGUACGUCGUAGUCCGGAUUGGAGUCUGCAACUCGA
RNAcentral lists this ribosomal RNA (539 nucleotides) under uncultured bacterium. RNAcentral's name for it is "bacterial SSU rRNA". It matches the Rfam family "Bacterial small subunit ribosomal RNA", at positions 777 to 1315 of the family's 1533-position model. The record is from RNAcentral.